AUCUCUCUCUCUGCGGAAGCCAGCCACCGCUCUCCAAGGACUCUCGAGCAGCUCCAUCUACAGAUUCACAUGGAGAAGAAUUAAGGGUUCCUGCCAAUCACCAGCACCACUUUGCCAGCCUUGUAAGUGGGCCACCUUGGAAUUGGAGCCUCCAGUUCCUACUGACAUCUGACUGCAACAUCAUGAGAGACCCUGAGUUUGAACCACCCAGCUGAGCUGCUUCUGAGCUAACCCACUGAAACCACAGUUGGCAUCUGUGUGAAGAUGUGAAUGGAGGAGGCAGGGUACGCAGUGAGUGCCGCAGCCACAGCUUGGGUUCUCUGCAGCCCUGGCACAGAAGGUAGGAACACCCAUGGGGGAUGCGGCCACUAUGAUGUCUUCCCACACAAGAAGUGCCAAGUGCUUUUCUCAUGCUUUUCUGGAUUGUUCCAUGGUGGACGAGUCAGCAGGAGUGAGAUGGAGCAGCACAGUAGAGGGGCCAGGAUAUCAUUGUACAUAUUCUCAGCUAAGUGAGCACCAAUAGAGGAGAGGGAGAGUCUCAUGGAAGUUCCUUCUAAGCCUUUGGCUCUUUUUACCUUCAACAAGGUGUGCCACCUCUUUGAUCCAGCAAGUGGGAAGAACAGUCCCGGCCUCUUUGCACACAAGACUGUGAUACGAAUGCACCAUCACAGGCCC
RNAcentral lists this long non-coding RNA (675 nucleotides) under Pan troglodytes (chimpanzee). RNAcentral describes it as "lincRNA". Lineage: Eukaryota; Metazoa; Chordata; Mammalia; Primates; Hominidae. The record is from RNAcentral.